AUCGGCUGUCGUCAGCUCGUGUCGUGAGAUGUUGGGUUAAGUCCCGUAACGAGCGCAACCCUUGUCCUUAGUUACCAGCACGUUAUGGUGGGCACUCUAAGGAGACUGCCGGUGACAAACCGGAGGAAGGUGGGGAUGACGUCAAGUCAUCACUGGCCCUUACGGCCUGGGCUACACACGUGCUACAAUGGUCGGUACAAAGGGUUGCCAAGCCGCGAGGUGGAGCUAAUCCCAUAAAACCGAUCGUAGUCCGGAUCGCAGUCUGCAACUCGACUGCGUGAAGUCGGAAUCGCUAGUAAUCGUGAAAUCAGAAUGUCACGGUGAAUACGUUCCCGGGCCUU
RNAcentral lists this ribosomal RNA (341 nucleotides) under uncultured Pseudomonas sp. RNAcentral's name for it is "bacterial SSU rRNA". It matches the Rfam family "Bacterial small subunit ribosomal RNA", at positions 1044 to 1382 of the family's 1533-position model. Lineage: Bacteria; Pseudomonadati; Pseudomonadota; Gammaproteobacteria; Pseudomonadales; Pseudomonadaceae. The record is from RNAcentral.